RNAcentral lists this small RNA (44 nucleotides) under Plasmodium falciparum 3D7. RNAcentral's name for it is "Pfa-npcR7211". The record is from RNAcentral. Lineage: Eukaryota; Apicomplexa; Aconoidasida; Haemosporida; Plasmodiidae.
UUGUAAUGUGUUGAUAAUUCGAUAUAUCGAUACGUCGUUUUGAA